UACGUAGGUGGCAAGCGUUGUCCGGAUUUACUGGGCGUAAAGCGUAUGCAGGCGGAUGGUUAAGUAGGAAGUGAAAGGUUGGAGCUCAACUCCAACACGGCUUCCUAUACUGGCUAUCUUGAGUGGCGGAGAGGAAGACGGAACGACACGUGUAGCGGUGAAAUGCGUUGAUAUGUGUCGGAACACCAAUGGCGAAAGCAGUCUUCUGGACGCAAACUGACGCUGAGAUACGAAAGCCAAGGGAGCAAACAGG
Molecule: ribosomal RNA, 253 nt
Filed under: uncultured bacterium
Lineage: Bacteria
Description: partial 16S ribosomal RNA
Rfam family: Bacterial small subunit ribosomal RNA
Source: RNAcentral